This 72-nucleotide transfer RNA is filed under the name Ictidomys tridecemlineatus (thirteen-lined ground squirrel). RNAcentral describes it as "Spermophilus tridecemlineatus (thirteen-lined ground squirrel) tRNA". It matches the Rfam family "tRNA". Rfam says of the family: Transfer RNA (tRNA) molecules are approximately 80 nucleotides in length. Their secondary structure includes four short double-helical elements and three loops (D, anti-codon, and T loops). Further hydrogen bonds mediate the characteristic L-shaped molecular structure. tRNAs have two regions of fundamental functional importance: the anti-codon, which is responsible for specific mRNA codon recognition, and the 3' end, to which the tRNAs corresponding amino acid is attached (by aminoacyl-tRNA synthetases). tRNAs cope with the degeneracy of the genetic code in two manners: having more than one tRNA (with a specific anti-codon) for a particular amino acid; and 'wobble' base-pairing, i.e. permitting non-standard base-pairing at the 3rd anti-codon position. Lineage: Eukaryota; Metazoa; Chordata; Mammalia; Rodentia; Sciuridae. The record is from Rfam by way of RNAcentral.
AGGGGUAUAGCUCAGUGGUAGAGCAUGUGUACUGUAUGUACAAGGUCCUGAGUUUAAUUCCCAGCACCGCCC